UGAAUACGAGAUGCUACGGCGUCGAAGCAGUCUAUGUCAUACUUCCAAGAAAAGCUCGCACUGUCAUAAACAAAUAAUGCCUGUACCAUAACCGACACAGGUGGGUAGGUAGAGUAUACUAAGGGGCGCGAGAUAACUCUCUCUAAGGAACUCGGCAAAAUGACUCCGUAACUUCGGGAGAAGGAGUGCCUUAUUUAUAAGGUUGCAAUAACAAGAUCCAAGCAACUGUUUAUCAAAAACACAGGUCUCCGCUAAGUCGUAAGACGAUGUAUGGGGGCUGACGCCUGCCCAGUGCCAGAAGGUUAAAGAAGUUGGUUAGCAUUCGCGAAGCUGAUAACUGAAGCCCUGGUGAACGGCGGCCGUAACUAUAACGGUCCUAAGGUAGCGAAAUUCCUUGUCGGGUAAGUUCCGACCCGCACGAAAGGCGUAAUGAUUUGGAUACUGUCUCGGAGAGGGGCUCGGUGAAAUAGACUUGUCUGUGAAGAUGCGGACUACCUGCACCAGGACAGAAAGACCCUAUGAAGCUUUACUGUAACUUGAGAUUGAAAUUGGACUUUACUUGCGCAGUAUAGGUGGGAGGCGUUGAUAAUAUUCUUGCGGGAUUAUUUGAGCCAUCAGUGAGAUACCACUCUUGUAAUGUUAGAUUUCUAACUUUGUAUCAUUAUCUGGUCAAAGGACAGUUUCAGGCGGGCAGUUUGACUGGGGCGGUCGCCUCCUAAACGGUAACGGAGGCGCACAAAGGUUUCCUCUGAACGGGUAGAAAUCGUAUCUAGAGUGUAAAGGCAUAAGGAAGCUUGACUGUGAGACCUACAAGUCGAGCAGGGACGAAAGUCGGUCUUAGUGAUCUGACGGUGCUGAGUGGAAAGGCCGUCACUCAACGGAUAAAAGUUACUCUAGGAUAACAGGCUGAUCUCCCCCAAGAGUUCACAUCGACGGGGAGGUUUGGCACCUCGAUGUCGGCUCAUCGCAUCCUGGGGCGGUAGUACGUCUCAAGGGUUGGGCUGUUCGCCCAUGAAAGCGGUACGCGAGCUGGGUUCAGAACGUCGUGAGACAGUUCGGUCCAUAUCCGGUGUAGGCGUUAGAAUAUUGAGAGGAGCCUUCUUUAGUACGAGAGGACCGAGAAGGACAUACCUCUGGUGUACCAGUUAUCGUGCCAACGGUAAACGCUGGGUAGCUAUGUAUGGAGUGGAUAACCGCUGAAAGCAUCUAAGUGGGAAGCCCACCUCAAGAUAAGUAUUCAC
This 1241-nucleotide ribosomal RNA is filed under the name metagenome. RNAcentral's name for it is "bacterial LSU rRNA". It matches the Rfam family "Bacterial large subunit ribosomal RNA", at positions 1564 to 2815 of the family's 2925-position model. The record is from RNAcentral.